This 155-nucleotide ribosomal RNA is filed under the name Salix viminalis (osier). It matches the Rfam family "5.8S ribosomal RNA". Rfam says of the family: 5.8S ribosomal RNA (5.8S rRNA) is a component of the large subunit of the eukaryotic ribosome. The record is from RNAcentral. Lineage: Eukaryota; Viridiplantae; Streptophyta; Magnoliopsida; Malpighiales; Salicaceae.
GACUCUCGGCAACGGAUAUCUCGGCUCUCGCAUCGAUGAAGAACGUAGCGAAAUGCGAUACUUGGUGUGAAUUGCAGAAUCCGUGAACCAUCGAGUCUUUGAACGCAAGUUGCGCCCGAGGCCUCCUGGUCGAGGGCACGUCUGCCUGGGUGUCA